RNAcentral lists this ribosomal RNA (477 nucleotides) under uncultured soil bacterium. RNAcentral's name for it is "bacterial SSU rRNA". It matches the Rfam family "Bacterial small subunit ribosomal RNA", at positions 26 to 518 of the family's 1533-position model. The record is from RNAcentral.
AGGACGAACGCUGGCGGCGUGCUUAACACAUGCAAGUCGAGCGGUAAGGCCUUUCGGGGUACACGAGCGGCGAACGGGUGAGUAACACGUGGGUGAUCUGCCCUGCACUCUGGGAUAAGCCUGGGAAACUGGGUCUAAUACCGGAUAUGACCUGCUCUCGCAUGGGGGUGGGUGGAAAGAUUUAUCGGUGCAGGAUGGGCCCGCGGCCUAUCAGCUUGUUGGUGGGGUAAUGGCCUACCAAGGCGACGACGGGUAGCCGACCUGAGAGGGUGACCGGCCACGACUGGGACUGAGACACGGCCCAGACUCCUACGGGAGGCAGCAGUGGGGAAUAUUGCACAAUGGGCGAAAGCCUGAUGGCAGCGACGCCGCGUGAGGAUGAAGGCCUUCGGGUUGUAAACCUCUUUCAGCAGGACGAAGCGCAAGUGACGGUACCUGCAGAAGAAGCAACCGGCUAACUACGUGCCAGCCAGCCGC